This 253-nucleotide ribosomal RNA is filed under the name uncultured bacterium. RNAcentral's name for it is "partial 16S ribosomal RNA". It matches the Rfam family "Bacterial small subunit ribosomal RNA", at positions 524 to 776 of the family's 1533-position model. The record is from RNAcentral.
UACAGAGGGGGCAAGCGUUGUUCGGAAUUACUGGGCGUAAAGGGCGCGUAGGCGGCCUUCUAAGUCGAACGUGAAAUCCCUGGGCUCAACCCAGGAACUGCGUCCGAUACUGGGAGGCUUGAAUCCGGGAGAGGGAUGUGGAAUUCCAGGUGUAGCGGUGAAAUGCGUAGAUAUCGGGAGGAACACCAGUGGCGAAGGCGACUACCUGGCCUGUUCUUGACGCUGAGGCGCGAAAGCUAGGGGAGCAAACGGG